Molecule: long non-coding RNA, 1516 nt
Organism: Mesocricetus auratus (golden hamster)
Lineage: Eukaryota; Metazoa; Chordata; Mammalia; Rodentia; Cricetidae
Exons: 2
Source: RefSeq, a predicted model, not a curated record
UUGGUGGAUCAGCGCUCCUGCUGCUUGGCUCCCUCCUGGAGACAGCCUGAACCACAGUGUCCUGCUUGCUUGAGUGAGCAAUGUGAGAAAAUGUGUUGCUUGGCUGAAGCUUCUAGGGCUGUGACUGGGGCUCUGGCAGCUGAGCAAAUGCACAGAGCUAGUGCAGUGUGGCCCAAAUCAACAUGAUCUUCCUUCAGAAUUUUGAAGACAUCGCUGCUGCCUUCCAGCCUUCUGAGUUACAAGAAGCUCCUGAACUGCUCAAUUCUUGGGCCAUGGCAUCUGACCCCAGCCGCCUUGUCCGAAUGUCCCUCGGAGAGCUGGUGGCUCUUCUGCUUCCCCUGGGUGCCCUGAAAUCUGAACAGCGAUCAAUCAUAAGCACCAUCUUGAGUGCUUUCACAUUAAACCCCAGCCCCUCCCCCAGCGUGCACCAGGCUCCCAGAACCCAGGUGCUGGCUGAGAAACUGAGGCAGGCAUUGGAGAAAGAAAUAAAAGGGUCCUUUUUGCUAAGUAUGUCUGGCACAGGCUGGUGCUGGUAGGAUUCCCUGGCGUCUGAUGGGCCAUGCUGGUCCUGCCAACCUGUGAUCCCCCAGCACCUGAUGCAUACUCAUGAGCCCAGCUCUGCAACCAACUUUGGGGUAGCAUCAAGUUGUCAUGUCCUGCACCUGGUAGCUUGUAGUUAGGAACUCAAAAGCAAACUUCCAGGCUUUGUUGGCCCUGAAAGAGACUCCUAAUAUCUCUUCAAGUCGGUUUUUGAUUUCAGAGAAGUCCUUCCACAAAAUGUGGGAUCAUCCUUCCAAAUGACCUAAGGUAAACUUGUUCAUUAUAAUGUUAAAUUCUCUCCUCCACCAUCUGUGAACACAUAGUGUGUGAAACGGUGUAAUCACCAACAGAGCAUGCUAAUUAAGAGGCCUGGCCCUACUGUGUGAUGACGUCCAUACAAUACGAAUGUGCCCGAGGUUUCCCAAUAAAAUCACCUCGUGUCCAUGUUUGCUGACACCUUACCUAAAAAUUAUCCCCAAGCUGUCCUCACAAUGGAAGAACUCCCUCUACCAUCAUCUCCCCAGGCUUCUUAUGGCUUUGUAGGCACCAAGAGUGACCCCGUUCUGUUUGGGGAAUCAUCCUCUGUGGGCCCACGCUGUCCUAGAUCACUCUGGAAGUAAUGAAUGGCUCACUAUGUCCAUAAUGCUGACCAGUUACAAUGGUUGACAGUAAUUGUCAACCUAACACAUAGGAGUCAGGCCUCUAGGUAGACCUGUGAUGAAUCACCUAGAUGAAUGCUAGGCUCUGAGGAUGUCUCUGAGGGGUAUCUUAUUAUGCAAAUUGAUGUGGGAAGACUCAAUUAUGGGUGGCCCCAUUCCCUAGGCAGGGGACCCUGAAAGUGGAAAUGCUGAUCUGAGCACCGGCAUGCAUUAUUCAUUGCUCUCUGCUUCUAACUGUGACUAUAAUGUGACUGGGACUUCCCAGCAAUAACAUAUUAUACUUGGAAGUAUAAGAUAAAUAAAACCGCAUAAAUAAA